ACUCGAGUGGCGAACGGGUGAGUAACACGUGGGUGAUCUGCCCUGCACUUCGGGAUAAGCUUGGGAAACUGGGUCUAAUACCGGAUAGGAGCCAUCUUUAGUGUGGUGGUUGGAAAGUUUUUCGGUGUAGGAUGAGCUCGCGGCCUAUCAGCUUGUUGGUGGGGUAAUGGCCUACCAAGGCGGCGACGGGUAACCGGCCUGAGAGGGUGUACGGCCACAUUGGGACUGAGAUACGGCCCAG
RNAcentral lists this ribosomal RNA (241 nucleotides) under uncultured Actinomycetales bacterium. Its description in RNAcentral is "partial 16S ribosomal RNA". It matches the Rfam family "Bacterial small subunit ribosomal RNA", at positions 89 to 334 of the family's 1533-position model. Lineage: Bacteria; Bacillati; Actinomycetota; Actinomycetes; Actinomycetales. The record is from RNAcentral.